RNAcentral lists this ribosomal RNA (362 nucleotides) under Klebsiella pneumoniae. Its description in RNAcentral is "bacterial SSU rRNA". It matches the Rfam family "Bacterial small subunit ribosomal RNA", at positions 632 to 993 of the family's 1533-position model. The record is from RNAcentral. Lineage: Bacteria; Pseudomonadati; Pseudomonadota; Gammaproteobacteria; Enterobacterales; Enterobacteriaceae. RNAcentral also lists the same sequence under 1 other name.
ACUGGCAGGCUAGAGUCUUGUAGAGGGGGGUAGAAUUCCAGGUGUAGCGGUGAAAUGCGUAGAGAUCUGGAGGAAUACCGGUGGCGAAGGCGGCCCCCUGGACAAAGACUGACGCUCAGGUGCGAAAGCGUGGGGAGCAAACAGGAUUAGAUACCCUGGUAGUCCACGCCGUAAACGAUGUCGAUUUGGAGGUUGUGCCCUUGAGGCGUGGCUUCCGGAGCUAACGCGUUAAAUCGACCGCCUGGGGAGUACGGCCGCAAGGUUAAAACUCAAAUGAAUUGACGGGGGCCCGCACAAGCGGUGGAGCAUGUGGUUUAAUUCGAUGCAACGCGAAGAACCUUACCUGGUCUUGACAUCCACAG